Molecule: unclassified non-coding RNA, 222 nt
Filed under: Hevea brasiliensis (rubber tree)
Lineage: Eukaryota; Viridiplantae; Streptophyta; Magnoliopsida; Malpighiales; Euphorbiaceae
Source: RNAcentral
GACAAGUUAUAACUAUUUUAUGGUGAGUUCAUAAAUUAAUAUUUUGGUAUGAUUUAUUUGCCCAUCUAGUGCUAAUUUGCAUUAUGGAGCACAUUUUGCAGAUUCAAUAGUAUUAGCAAGAACUAUUUUAUGAAGUGAGCUCUAUUAUUUGGAGCAUUUUUUGAAAUGCAUCACUAAUUCAAUCACCAUUUAAUCCCAAAUAUCAUCUUGCAAGCAUGCAAA